This 371-nucleotide ribosomal RNA is filed under the name uncultured bacterium. RNAcentral describes it as "bacterial SSU rRNA". It matches the Rfam family "Bacterial small subunit ribosomal RNA", at positions 509 to 881 of the family's 1533-position model. The record is from RNAcentral.
CAGAGCCGCGGUAAUACNUANGUGGCAAGCGUUGUCCGGAAUUACUGGGUGUAAAGGGAGCGUANGCGGGGAGACAAGUUGAAUGUUUAAACUAUCGGCUCAACUGAUAGUCGCGUUCAAAACUAUCACUCUUGAGUGCAGUAGAGGUAGGCGGAAUUCCUAGUGUAGCGGUGAAAUGCGUAGAUAUUANGAGGAACACCAGUGGCGAANGCGGCCUACCGGGCUGUAACUGACGCUGAGGCUCGAAAGCGUGGGUAGCAAACAGGAUUAGAUACCCUGGUAGUCCACGCCGUAAACGAUGAUUACUAGGUGUGGGGGGACUGACCCCUCCCGUGCCGGAGUUAACACAAUAAGUAAUCCACCUGGGGAGU